AAGUCGUAACAAGGUUUCCGUAGGUGAACCUGCGGAAGGAUCAUUAUUGAAAUAGCAUGACGAGUUGUCGCUGGCCUUUUUGACCGUGCACGCUCUGUCGUUCUUCAUUUCUCCAUCUAUUUGUGCACCUCUUGCGUAGACCUUUUCUGAGGGCUUCCUCGGGUCGUUAGGACUGCUUUGCAAAAAUUGAAUUUGUGGGCUUUCCUUGUCGCUACCACACAUACACCAGUGUAAUCGUUUAGAAGGAAAUGGAAUUUGAUGCAUAAUACAACUUUCAGCAACGGAUCUCUUGGCUCUCGCAUCGAUGAAGAACGCAGCGAAAUGCGAUAAGUAAUGUGAAUUGCAGAAUUCAGUGAAUCAUCGAAUCUUUGAACGCAUCUUGCGCUCCUUGGUUAAUCCAAGGAGCAUGCCUGUUUGAGUGUCAUUAAUGUCUCAACCACACCGUGAGGUGUGGCUUGGAUUUGGGGGUUACAGGCCUAGUCUGCUCCCCUGAAAUACAUGAGUGGUAACGACCUCUCCAUUAAGAUGUGAUACAUAUCUGCAUCUGGUCGAGGGUUCUGCUGCUAUAUAAGAGUUGGAUUUGAUAAACUUGACCUCAAAUCAGGUAGGACCACCCGCUGAACUUAA
This 627-nucleotide ribosomal RNA is filed under the name uncultured fungus. Its description in RNAcentral is "eukaryotic LSU rRNA". The stretch from base 270 to 424 matches the Rfam family "5.8S ribosomal RNA". The record is from RNAcentral. Lineage: Eukaryota; Fungi.